RNAcentral lists this unclassified non-coding RNA (343 nucleotides) under soil metagenome. Its description in RNAcentral is "partial contains 5.8S ribosomal RNA, internal transcribed spacer 2, and large subunit ribosomal RNA". The stretch from base 1 to 120 matches the Rfam family "5.8S ribosomal RNA", at positions 35 to 154 of the family's 154-position model. The record is from RNAcentral.
GAUGAAGAACGCAGCGAAAUGUGAUAAGUAAUGUGAAUUGCAGAAUUCAGUGAAUCAUCGAAUCUUUGAACGCACAUUGCGCCCGCUAGUAUUCUGGCGGGCAUGCCUGUCCGAGCGUCAUUUCAACCCUCAAGCCCCCGGGCUUGGUGUUGGGGAUCGGCGAGCCUCCGCGCCCGCCGUCCCCUAAAUCUAGUGGCGGUCUCGCUGUAGCUUCCUCUGCGUAGUAGCACACCUCGCACUGGGAAACAGCGCGGCCACGCCGUUAAACCCCCAACUUCUGAACGUUUGACCUCGGAUCAGGUAGGAAUACCCGCUGAACUUAAGCAUAUCAAUAAGCGGAGGA